AUACGAAGGUCGCGAGUGUUGUCCGGAUUUACUGGGCGUAAAGGGCGCGUAGGCGGGGAUGCAACUCCGGUGAGAAAUCUAUGGGCGCAACCCGUAAACUGCAUUUGAAAAUGCGUUUCAUGAGUGUCGGAGAGGUAGAUGGAAUUCCUCGUGUAGCGGUGAAAUGCGUAGAUAUUAGGAGGAACACCAGGUGCGAAGGCGAUCUACUGGACGAUAACUGACGCUGAGGCGCGAAAGCGUGGGGAGCAAACAGGAUUAGAUGCCCUGGUAGUCCACGCCGUAAACGAUGAAUACUAGGUGUGGGUGGGACUGACCCCAUCCGUGCCGCAGCUAACGCAAUAAGUAUUCCACCUGGGGAGUACGGCCGCAAGGCUGAAACUCAAAGGAAUUGACGGGG
Molecule: ribosomal RNA, 397 nt
Filed under: uncultured bacterium
Lineage: Bacteria
Description: partial 16S ribosomal RNA
Rfam family: Bacterial small subunit ribosomal RNA
Source: RNAcentral